UCCUUAGAUGUUCUGGGCCGCACGCGUGCUACACUGAGUGGAUCAGCGGGUCAGGUUGCGCGAAAGUGUUUCCUAAUCUUUAAAUCCGCUCGUGAUGGGGAUUGACGGUUGCAAUUUUCCGUCAUGAACGAGGAAUACCUUGUAAGCGCGGGUCAUCAUCCCGCGCUGAAUACGUCCCUGCCCUUUGUACACACCGCCCGUCGCUCCUACCGAUUGAGUGGUCCGGUGAGGCUUUGGGAUCUGAGCGGAAAGAGCGUUUCGCUGUUUCUGCUCGGAAAACUCAGUCGAACCUUAUCAUUUAGAGGAAGGAGAAGUCGUAACA
This 322-nucleotide ribosomal RNA is filed under the name uncultured eukaryote. RNAcentral describes it as "partial 18S ribosomal RNA". It matches the Rfam family "Eukaryotic small subunit ribosomal RNA", at positions 1470 to 1796 of the family's 1831-position model. The record is from RNAcentral.